GGUAAUACCGGGCACCGUGUCGGGAGGGCAUCCUCCUGCCACGAAAGGAGAAUCGCUCCGGGAGAGGCUCACGUAGUAUUAGCUAGUUGGUGGGGUAACGGCCCACCAAGGCCAAGAUGCUUAGCGGGUGUGAGAGCACGACCCGCGCCACUGGCACUGUGACACUGGCCAGACUCCUACGGGAGGCUGCAGUCGAGGAUCUUCGGCAAUGGGCGCAAGCCUGACCGAGCGACGCCGCGUGAGCGAUGAAGGCCUUCGGGUUGUAAAGCUCUGUCGGGGGGAAGAAAGGGCAACUUGAUCGACCCCCGGAGGAAGCACGGGCUAAGUUCGUGCCAGCAGCCGCGGUAAGACGAACCGUGCGAACGUUGUUCGGAAUCACUGGGCUUAAAGGGCGCGUAGGCGGGCAACCAAGUCAAAGGUGAAAUCCCACGGCUCAACCGUGGAAGUGCCCCUGAUACUGGUUGUCUCGAGGGAGGUAGGGGCGUGCGGAACUUCCGGUGGAGCGGUGAAAUGCGUAGAUAUCGGAAGGAACGCCGGUGGCGAAAGCGCGCGCUGGACCUCUUCUGACGCUGAGGCGCGAAAGCCAGGGGAGCAAACGGGAUUAGAUACCCCGGUAGUCCUGGCCCUGAACGAUGGGUACUAGGUAGUGGACUUGACAUGGGUUCACUUCCGAAGCAAAAGUGAUAAGUACCCCGCCUGGGGAGUAUGGUCGCAAGGCUGAAACUCAAAGGAAUUGACGGGGGCUCACACAAGCGGUGGAGCAUGUGGCUUAAUUCGAGACUACGCGAAGAACCUUAUCCUGGGCUUGACAUGUGCGAAAGCGGGAGGAAGUAGCGCGCGGAAACGUGGUGCCAACGGUAUACAGUCCGGAACCUCCUACAGGUGUUGCAUGGCUGUCGUCAGCUCGUGUCGUGAGAUGUUGGGUUAAGUCCCGUAACGAGCGCAACCCUUGUCUCCAGUUGCCAGCGAGUAAAGUCGGGGACUCUCGAGAGACUGCCGGUGUCAAACCGGAGGAAGGUGGGGAUGACGUCAAGUCCGCAUGGCCUUUAUGCCCAGGGCUGCACACGUGCUACAAUGGCGUGUACAGAGGGAAGCAAACCCGCGAGGGGGAGCAAAUCUCAAAAAGCACGCCGCAGUUCAGAUCGAAGGCUGCAACUCGCCUUCGUGAAGUUGGAAUCGCUAGUAAUCGCGGGUCAGCAACACCGCGGUGAAUGUGUUCCUGAGCCUUGUACACACCGCCCGUCAAGCCACGAAAGAUCGGGGGGGGCCAAGUCGCUGUGCUAACCCGCAAGGGAGGUAAGCGCCUAACCCUCAACGGUCAAUUGGGACUAAGUCGUAACAAGGU
RNAcentral lists this ribosomal RNA (1345 nucleotides) under metagenome. RNAcentral's name for it is "bacterial SSU rRNA". It matches the Rfam family "Bacterial small subunit ribosomal RNA", at positions 162 to 1497 of the family's 1533-position model. The record is from RNAcentral.